Molecule: ribosomal RNA, 253 nt
Filed under: uncultured bacterium
Lineage: Bacteria
Description: partial 16S ribosomal RNA
Rfam family: Bacterial small subunit ribosomal RNA
Source: RNAcentral
UACGUAGGGUGCGAGCGUUGUCCGGAAUCAUUGGGCGUAAAGCGCGUGUAGGCGGUUCGGUAAGUCGGGUGUGAAAGCCCAGGGCUCAACCCUGGGAUGCCGGUCGAUACUGCCGGACUAGAGUUCGGAAGAGGCGAGUGGAAUUCCCGGUGUAGCGGUGAAAUGCGCAGAUAUCGGGAGGAACACCAAUGGCGAAGGCAGCUCGCUGGGACGUUACUGACGCUGAGACGCGAAAGCGUGGGGAGCAAACAGG